This 919-nucleotide long non-coding RNA is filed under the name Parus major (Great Tit). Its description in RNAcentral is "lncRNA (ENSPMJG00000006371.1)". The record is from RNAcentral. Lineage: Eukaryota; Metazoa; Chordata; Aves; Passeriformes; Paridae.
GGUGGGUGUUCUUUAAUCUCAGACUUUGAUUCAGUCGGAAAUGCGCCCGGAACGGCGGGGAAGCAUCAUUUUCCCCAAGACGGGGAAGGGCGAAGCUGCUCCUGGGGUUUUUUUGGGGUGAGGUGUGCCGAGGGCGUGGGUUUUCCCGGCUCGGACUCGUCCCCGCGGGUGCGAGGCAACAGGUGACUCAGCUCCGGGAGCCGCCGGGUCCCCCCCGGCAAGAACCCCCAACUGAAAUGGCACUGGGUGGCCGGUCCAGGACGGGGCUCCCUGCCCCUCGACGGCUCAUGCCCCGCUGGUCAAGCCGUGGAUGUUCCACUACGGCUUAAAACUGCACGACGCCCAUUAAAAGACUCAGUUCACCUCGGAGGCCUCCAUCAGCUGCACGAUAUUAUCUCACAGAUCAGAAAGUGCCUCGUUGGGAAGGCAAUUCUCGAGCAUCCCCAGCACAUGGAGAAGGAGGAGUAAGAAAUGCCACCGCUGGCAGCAGUGCCUGGAAGCUCUGCGUUCAGCGGGGGCCCCAGCAUGCGAGGCGGCUCCUCCCGGCCUCGGCCUCCUCCACCGGGGAUGUGGUGGCCGAGAGGCAGCGGGGACGCGGAGCCCGGUGGCGGGUGCUGAGGGGGAAGGGCUGCUGGCUGCUCUGCUAUUAAAAAGUGCCUCCCUGCCACUGGAGAGUUCUCAUCCGGCCGCUCCCGGGAAAUGUACCCCCUCCAUACCGCUGAGAGCAUCGGCGUUCGGAACGGGGAAGGGAUCUGCCUGUCCUCGGCGAUAGGAACAUGCAGCCCUUUGUCUCUCUAGACAAGGUGCGAUAUUCAACUGCGGGCCAUGAAAAUAGAUACGCCAAAUGGCUACCGCGACCCCCUCCUAUCCCUCGGGGAGGUGGGCUCGCCCCGAGGCCCCACCGUGCCCGGGAAGGGCU